This 253-nucleotide ribosomal RNA is filed under the name uncultured bacterium. Its description in RNAcentral is "partial 16S ribosomal RNA". It matches the Rfam family "Bacterial small subunit ribosomal RNA", at positions 524 to 776 of the family's 1533-position model. The record is from RNAcentral.
UACGUAGGGUGCAAGCGUUGUCCGGAAUUAUUGGGCGUAAAGAGCUCGUAGGUGGUUUGUCGCGUUGUUCGUGAAAACUCACAGCUCAACUGUGGGCGUGCGGGCGAUACGGGCAGACUGGAGUACUGCAGGGGAGACUGGAAUUCCUGGUGUAGCGGUGGAAUGCGCAGAUAUCAGGAGGAACACCGGUGGCGAAGGCGGUUCUCUGGGCAUUACCUGACGCUGAGGAGCGAAAGUGUGGGGAGCGAACAGG